This 468-nucleotide ribosomal RNA is filed under the name uncultured bacterium. RNAcentral describes it as "partial 16S ribosomal RNA". It matches the Rfam family "Bacterial small subunit ribosomal RNA", at positions 28 to 507 of the family's 1533-position model. The record is from RNAcentral.
GACGAACGCUGGCGGCGUGCUUAACACAUGCAAGUCGAACCCAAAGGCCCUGCUUUUGUGGGGUGCUCGAGUGGCGAACGGGUGAGUAACACGUGAGUAACCUGCCCUUGACUUUGGGAUAACUUCAGGAAACUGGGGCUAAUACCGGAUAGGAGCUCCUGCUGCAUGGUGGGGGUUGGAAAGUUUCGGCGGUUGGGGAUGGACUCGCGGCUUAUCAGCUUGUUGGUGGGGUAGUGGCUUACCAAGGCUUUGACGGGUAGCCGGCCUGAGAGGGUGACCGGCCACAUUGGGACUGAGAUACGGCCCAGACUCCUACGGGAGGCAGCAGUGGGGAAUAUUGCACAAUGGGCGGAAGCCUGAUGCAGCAACGCCGCGUGCGGGAUGACGGCCUUCGGGUUGUAAACCGCUUUCGCCUGUGACGAAGCGUGAGUGACGGUAAUGGGUAAAGAAGCACCGGCUAACUACGUG